RNAcentral lists this ribosomal RNA (492 nucleotides) under uncultured bacterium. RNAcentral's name for it is "partial 16S ribosomal RNA". It matches the Rfam family "Bacterial small subunit ribosomal RNA", at positions 30 to 507 of the family's 1533-position model. The record is from RNAcentral.
AUUGAACGCUGGCGGUAGGCCUAACACAUGCGAGUCGAACGGCAGCAGAGUAAUUGCUUGUGGUUACGGGGGCCGAGGGGCGGGUGAUGCAUGGGAAUAUCCCUGGUAGUGUUGGCGAACGUGCGGACGCGGGGGAUCAUACCGCAUAAGUGCUGAGGGAGUAAGGGGGAAAGCAGCGGACCUUACGACCUUGGGUGAGCCAAGGAGGCGAUGUCGGAUUAGCUAGUUGGCGGGGUAAAGGCCCACCAAGGCGACGAUCCGUAGCUGGUCUGAGAGGAUGAUCAGCCACACUGGAACUGAGACACGGUCCAGACUCCUACGGGAGGCAGCAGUGGGGAAUAUUGGACAAUGGGCGCAAGCCUGAUCCAGCCAUACCGCGUGGGUGAAGAAGGCCUUCGGGUUGUAAAGCACUUUUAUUUGGAAAGAAAAGCAGCAAGUUAAUACCCUGCUGUUUUGACGGUACCCACAGAAUAAGCACCGGCUAACUUCGUG